GAUGAACGCUGGCGGCGUGCUUAACACAUGCAAGUCGAACGGAAAGGCCGAAGCUUGCUUCGGUACUCGAGUGGCGAACGGGUGAGUAACACGUGGGUGAUCUGCCCUGUACUUCGGGAUAAGCUUGGGAAACUGGGUCUAAUACCGGAUAUGACGAUCUCUUGGAUGGGGUUGUGGAAAGCUUUUGCGGUAUGGGAUGAGCUCGCGGCCUAUCAGCUUGUUGGUGGGGUAAUGGCCUACCAAGGCGUCGACGGGUAGCCGGCCUGAGAGGGUGUACGGCCACAUUGGGACUGAGAUACGGCCCAGACUCCGACGGGAGGCAGCAGUGGGGAAUAUUGCACAAUGGGCGCAAGCCUGAUGCAGCGACGCCGCGUGGGGGAUGACGGCCUUCGGGUUGUAAACUCCUUUCGCAAUCGACGAAGCCUUUUGGUGACGGUAGGUUGAGAAGAAGCACCGGCUAACUACGUG
This 468-nucleotide ribosomal RNA is filed under the name uncultured bacterium. RNAcentral describes it as "partial 16S ribosomal RNA". It matches the Rfam family "Bacterial small subunit ribosomal RNA", at positions 28 to 507 of the family's 1533-position model. The record is from RNAcentral.